CAGUAGCCGCGGGAAUACGUAGGGUGCGAGCGUUAUCCGGAAUGAUUGGGUGUAAAGGGUGUGCAGACGGCUUAUUAAGUCACUUGUUAAAUUCUUCGGCCUAACUGAAGGUCUGCAAGUGAUACUGAUGAGCUAGAGGGUGGAAGAGAGAAGUGGAAUUCUCGGAGUAGCGGUAAAAUGCGUAGAUCUCGAGAGGAACACCAAUGGCGAAGGCAGCUUCUUGGUCCAUUCCUGACGUUCAUACACGAAAGCGUGGGGAGCAAACAGGAUUAGAUACCCCAGUAGUCCCUGUCUCUUAUAC
This 301-nucleotide ribosomal RNA is filed under the name uncultured bacterium. Its description in RNAcentral is "partial 16S ribosomal RNA". It matches the Rfam family "Bacterial small subunit ribosomal RNA", at positions 509 to 807 of the family's 1533-position model. The record is from RNAcentral.